Molecule: ribosomal RNA, 411 nt
Filed under: bacterium enrichment culture clone ALO1_GLFRUDD03GVAJM
Lineage: Bacteria
Description: bacterial SSU rRNA
Rfam family: Bacterial small subunit ribosomal RNA
Source: RNAcentral
GAGUUUGAUCGUGGCUCAGGAUGAACGCUGGCGGCGUGCUUAACACAUGCAAGUCGAACGAAGCACUCAGGAGCGAUUUCGGUCAAUCCUGUUUGACUGAGUGGCGGACGGGUGAGUAACGCGUGAGUAACCUACCUCGCAGUGGGGAAUAACAGUUGGAAACGACUGCUAAUACCGCAUAAUGCAGAGAGACCGCAUGAUCUUUCUGCCAAAGAUUUAUCGCUGUGAGAUGGACUCGCGUCUGAUUAGCUAGUUGGUGAGGUAACGGCUCACCAAGGCGACGAUCAGUAGCCGGACUGAGAGGUUGACCGGCCACAUUGGGACUGAGACACGGCCCAGACUCCUACGGGAGGCAGCAGUGGGGAAUAUUGGGCAAGUGGGCGCAAGCCUGACCCAGCAACGCCGCGUGAA